UACGUAGGUGGCGAGCGUUGUCCGGAUUUACUGGGCGUAAAGGGCUUGUAGGCGGCUCGAUCAGUCUGCUGUGAAAGUCAAAGGCUCAACCUUUGAAUGCCGGUGGAUACUGUCGAGCUAGAGUCCGGAAGAGGCGAGUGGAAUUCCUGGUGUAGCGGUGGAAUGCGCAGAUAUCAGGAGGAACACCAACGGCGAAGGCAGCUCGCUAGGACGGUACUGACGCUAAGGCGCGAAAGCGUGGGGAGCGAACAGG
This 253-nucleotide ribosomal RNA is filed under the name uncultured bacterium. Its description in RNAcentral is "partial 16S ribosomal RNA". It matches the Rfam family "Bacterial small subunit ribosomal RNA", at positions 524 to 776 of the family's 1533-position model. The record is from RNAcentral.